Molecule: ribosomal RNA, 466 nt
Filed under: uncultured bacterium
Lineage: Bacteria
Description: partial 16S ribosomal RNA
Rfam family: Bacterial small subunit ribosomal RNA
Source: RNAcentral
CCAGACUCCUACGGGAGGCAGCAGUGAGGAAUAUUGGUCAAUGGCCGUAAGGCUGAACCAGCCAAGUCGCGUGAAGGAAGAAGGAUCUAUGGUUUGUAAACUUCUUUUAUAGGGGAAUAAAGGUAUCCACGUGUGGAUAUUUGCAUGUACCCUAUGAAUAAGCAUCGGCUAACUCCGUGCCAGCAGCCGCGGUAAUACGGAGGAUGCGAGCGUUAUCCGGAUUUAUUGGGUUUAAAGGGAGCGUAGGUGGAUUGUUAAGUCAGUUGUGAAAGUUUGCGGCUCAACCGUAAAAUUGCAGUUGAAACUGGCAGUCUUGAGUACAGUAGAGGUGGGCGGAAUUCGUGGUGUAGCGGUGAAAUGCUUAGAUAUCACGAAGAACUCCGAUUGCGAAGGCAGUUCACUGGACUGCAACUGACACUGAGGCUCGAAAGUGUGGGUAUCAAACAGGAUUAGAUACCCCCGUAGA